RNAcentral lists this ribosomal RNA (452 nucleotides) under uncultured bacterium. RNAcentral's name for it is "partial 16S ribosomal RNA". It matches the Rfam family "Bacterial small subunit ribosomal RNA", at positions 28 to 507 of the family's 1533-position model. The record is from RNAcentral.
GAUGAACGCUGGUGGCGUGCCUAACACAUGCAAGUCGAGCGAUUCCCUUCGGAGAUGCGCGGCGGACGGGUGCGUAACGCGUGGGUAACCUGCCCUGUACACACGGAUACCAUACCGUAAGGUAUGCUAAUACGAGAUAACAUGCUCUUAUCGCAUGGUAGAAUCAUUAAAGCCUUUGCGGUACAGGAUGGACCCGCGUCUGAUUAGAUAGUUGGUGGGGUAACGGCACACUAAGGCGACGAUCAGUAGCCGACCUGUGAGGGUGAACGGCCACAUUGGAACUGAGACACGGUCCAAACUCCUACGGGAGGCAGCAGUGGGGAAUAUUGCACAAUGGGCGAAAGCCUGAUGCAGCAACGCCGCGUGAGCGAUGAAGGCCUUCGGGUCGUAAAGCUCUGUCCUCAAGGAAGAUAAUGACGGUACUUGAGGAGGAAGCCCCGGCUAACUACGUG